UGGCGGACGGGUGAGUAACGCGUGGGUAACCUGCCCUGUACAGGGGGAUAACAGUCAGAAAUGACUGCUAAUACCGUAUAAGACCACAGCACCGCAUGGUGCAGGGGUAAAAACUCCGGUGGUACAGGAUGGACCCGCGUCUGAUUAGCUGGUUGGUGAGGUAACGGCUCACCAAGGCGACGAUCAGUAGCCGGCUUGAGAGAGUGAACGGCCACAUUGGGACUGAGAGACGGCCCAAACUCCUACGGGAGGCAGCAUG
Molecule: ribosomal RNA, 259 nt
Filed under: uncultured bacterium
Lineage: Bacteria
Description: partial 16S ribosomal RNA
Rfam family: Bacterial small subunit ribosomal RNA
Source: RNAcentral